GCGCCCGUAGCUCAGCAGGACAGAGCGGGGGCUUCCUAAGCCCUAGGUCGGGGGUUCGAAUCCCUCCGGGCGCGCCA
RNAcentral lists this transfer RNA (77 nucleotides) under Thermus filiformis. RNAcentral describes it as "tRNA-Arg". It matches the Rfam family "tRNA". From Rfam's summary of the family: Transfer RNA (tRNA) molecules are approximately 80 nucleotides in length. The record is from RNAcentral. Lineage: Bacteria; Thermotogati; Deinococcota; Deinococci; Thermales; Thermaceae.